Molecule: transfer RNA, 77 nt
Filed under: Actinomycetes bacterium
Lineage: Bacteria; Bacillati; Actinomycetota; Actinomycetes
Description: Actinobacteria bacterium tRNA-Thr
Rfam family: tRNA
About the family: Transfer RNA (tRNA) molecules are approximately 80 nucleotides in length. Their secondary structure includes four short double-helical elements and three loops (D, anti-codon, and T loops). Further hydrogen bonds mediate the characteristic L-shaped molecular structure. tRNAs have two regions of fundamental functional importance: the anti-codon, which is responsible for specific mRNA codon recognition, and the 3' end, to which the tRNAs corresponding amino acid is attached (by aminoacyl-tRNA synthetases). tRNAs cope with the degeneracy of the genetic code in two manners: having more than one tRNA (with a specific anti-codon) for a particular amino acid; and 'wobble' base-pairing, i.e. permitting non-standard base-pairing at the 3rd anti-codon position.
Source: RNAcentral
GCCGGCGUGGCGCAGCCCGGUAGCGCAACCGACUUGUAAUCGGUAGGUCGUCGGUUCGAAUCCGACCGCCGGCUCCG